RNAcentral lists this ribosomal RNA (836 nucleotides) under uncultured fungus. RNAcentral describes it as "SSU rRNA". It matches the Rfam family "Eukaryotic small subunit ribosomal RNA", at positions 564 to 1429 of the family's 1831-position model. Lineage: Eukaryota; Fungi. The record is from RNAcentral.
GUGCCAGCAGCCGCGGUAAUUCCAGCUCCAAUAGCGUAUAUUAAAGUUGUUGUGGUUAAAAAGCUCGUAGUUGAACCUUGGGCCUGGCUGGCCGGUCCGCCUCACCGCGUGCACUGGUCCGGCCGGGCCUUUCCCUCUGUGGAACCCCAUACCCUUCACUGGGCGUGGCGGGGAAACAGGACAUUUACUUUGAAAAAAUUAGAGUGCUCCAGGCAGGCCUAUGCUCGAAUACAUUAGCAUGGAAUAAUAAAAUAGGACGCGCGGUUCUAUUUUGUUGGUUUAUAGGACCGCCGUAAUGAUUAAUAGGGACAGUCGGGGGCAUCAGUAUUCAACUGUCAGAGGUGAAAUUCUUGGAUCAGUUGAAGACUAACUACUGCGAAAGCAUUUGCCAAGGAUGUUUUCAUUAAUCAGGAACGAAAGUUAGGGGAUCGAAGACGAUCAGAUACCGUCGUAGUCUUAACCAUAAACUAUGCCGACUAGGGAUCGGACGGUGUUAUUCAUGACCCGUUCGGCACCUUACGAGAAAUCAAAGUGCUUGGGCUCCAGGGGGAGUAUGGUCGCAAGGCUGAAACUUAAAGAAAUUGACGGAAGGGCACCACCAGGGGUGGAGCCUGCGGCUUAAUUUGACUCAACACGGGGAAACUCACCAGGUCCAGACACAAUAAGGAUUGACAGAUUGAGAGCUCUUUCUUGAUUUUGUGGGUGGUGGUGCAUGGCCGUUCUUAGUUGGUGGGGUGACUUGUCUGCUUAAUUGCGAUAACGAACGAGACCUUAACCUGCUAAAUAGCCCGCAUUGCUCCGGCAGUGCGCUGGCUUCUUAGAGGGACUUUCGGCUC